CCCACCUCAGCUUCCCAAAGUGCUAUAUUAGAGGCAUCAGCCACCACACCCAACCUGUGAUAAUUUUUAAAAAUUGAAAAAUUUCUGUGCUCUUAAAAGUCUUUUUUUCUUUUCUUUUUUCUUUUACCAAGUUUCACUCUGUUACCCGACUGCAAUGCUGUGACACCAUCUUGGCUCACUGCAACCUCUGCCUCCUGGCUUCAAGCAUUUCUUCUGCCUCAGCAACCUGAGUAGCUGGGACUAUAGAAAAGGUCUCACUCUGUUGGCCAGGCUGGAGUGAAGUGGCAUGAACGAGACUCAUGGCAGCCUUGAACUUCCAGACUCAAGGGAUCCUCCCACCUCAGCUUUGAGUAGCUGGGACCACAGGCACAUGCCCACACACCUGGCUAAUUUUUAGGUUUUUGUAAAGGCGGGGGUCUUGCCAUAUUUUCUGUGCAGAUAUGGAAAUUCUGGACUCAAGCACUCUGCUGCCUUCAGCCUUUCAAAGUGCUGGGAUUACAGGCGUGAACAUUAUACCACUGAUUGCCAAAGGAGACACGUUUCUUAAACGAUUUCCAGACGUUUAAGGGGAAGUAACGAGUGAGUUGAUUAGCAUUGGCAUUCAGAUAUAUCAGUUCCCAACGGAUGAACAAACUACUGCUCGAGUGAACUCCAAUUAUGAUAAGCUUCAGUAACAAUAUCUGACAGAUGGUAUAGAUGAGUUUUAACUAAAAUCCUGUAUGAAAGUUUUAUUUGUUGAUUUCAAAAAACUUUUGCUGAGAAUUGACACUUUGUAUACAGAUUUAUUUAGAUUAAAUUUAUACACCAUA
Non-coding RNA from Callithrix jacchus (white-tufted-ear marmoset), 809 nucleotides. The record is from RefSeq and is a predicted model, not a curated record. Lineage: Eukaryota; Metazoa; Chordata; Mammalia; Primates; Cebidae.